UGUUCCCUUGUGAACCCCCACACCUCUCCUAACCUGAGGGAUAGUCCUUCUCUUACUUUUAGCUUUAGCCUCUUUGCUUUCUUCCUUGUCAUAGGCCCUCCCUUGGUUGCUUCAUUUUGUUCUUUCUCUCGCAGUACCUCUCUUUCUUUGGUUUAAAUACUUCAUUUUUAAUGGGGUUUUCCUUACAACUACUCCUCUUUCUUCUAUACUGCAGACGGGCCUUUGUAUGAUUACACUGCUUACACUGAGUGUAAAGGGCAGCCAGAGAAGGCACUUUACAAAGGAGGGAUUCUCAAAGAUGGUGAGCCUGUCACUGUCAAAGGCAGCAUCGGUGGUUCUGCGAGUAAUGUAUUUUGGCCGGCUUUCAUAUUGCACAAUCUCACUCAGGUUGGGUCAAGAUACAAGGUGCAGAAUCAACUCUCAUAAAGGCAAGCCUGAAGUCACAAGUUGUGCCAUAUGACUGUAUAGGGACUGUCAUAGCAAAGCAUGGAUAUGGAAACCACCCAAUAUAUAGAGAAGAGAAUUAUGGAAUAUGCUAGGACCUUAUCUAAGGAAAAGACCGUAUCCAAGGACAACAGCUUAAAUGGUUGGGAAGCUCCAGAGGAGGGAUGGAUUUUAAACUCAAUGUAGAUUUUGUUGUGUCUGAAAAUGUCAUUGCUUUGGCGAUGGUGGCUAGGAAUAAAAAUGGAGAGGUUCUUAAAGUUUGGGCUAAAAUGUAUGAAUGGUGCUCACCACUGCAAGUUGAAGCUGCAGCUGUGCUCUGGGCAAUCCGGCUAGCUCUAAGUGAAAACUGGCAGCAUAUCAUCAUUGAAGGAGAUGCUAA
This is a long non-coding RNA of Quercus lobata, 823 nucleotides long. RefSeq lists it as uncharacterized. The record is from RefSeq and is a predicted model, not a curated record. The transcript is spliced from 3 exons. Lineage: Eukaryota; Viridiplantae; Streptophyta; Magnoliopsida; Fagales; Fagaceae.